UAAGAAUUUAUAAUUUACUGGACUGAGUAUUUAUAAAUUUCACAGAACAUUUUGUUCUCUGAUUUAAAUCCUGCAUACCAAGUGCCUGCCUGGGGCAAAGACAAAAAAAAAAAGUUAGCUUUGAUACUCCAAAACUGGCUGAAUAAAUCCUGUGCAGCUGGCCUGCGUGAAAUGUGCCCAGUGACAGCAAGCAGCAGCAAGGAUUCAGAGGGAUAGGGAGAGCUCUGUGCUGUCAGAUGUUACAGUGUUUUAUUGCUUUGGCUGGGAAGGGCAGGAAUGUGUAGGUAUCUCUACUAUUCAGUAUAGGGGUGCAAAGUGGUUCCCUCAGGCACGUAUGUGGACAAAACUGCUGCACAAAUGUGCAGUGUUGCCUUCUGCAUGUAUUUGUACAUGCUCUGGUGUUUUCCAGCUUUGGAGAUGUGGUUAAAGCCUCAAAGUGAAUGUGUGAGUCUGCAGCAGCUGAGAAUACGUUUCCAGCACUGGAGGUUCUCGUGUGGUUGAGUGUCUGUUCCAACCUUGGUGUGGAAUUGUCUAACCUGUACUGUGGUAUUUGUCAAGGGAAGUUCUUGGAGGCUUACUGAAAUGUUCAGGCCAGCACAGUACAGGUUACACUUGUCUAUACUUGAAGGUGAGAUGUCAGGAACUGUUACAGAUUGGAAACUGGUUUUUCUGCCUGUGCUGUUUCUCUGUUCAUCCAACUGUCUCUCAUCACUUUGUUUCUCUGUGUAAUAUAACCCAACUGAGAUGUGGUCCUGAGGGAAAAGUGGCUUAAAUCUGAAUCCUGGAAAGUCAAGAAUUAAAAGAUGCAUAGUUUAGGAAAAUAAAUUCUGGAAUAUGAAGUUAUGAAGGCUGUGACUGGUUCACAUGAGCAACUUGCAGCAAGGUCAUGUUUUCCUCCGAUAGUGCAUCAACAGGAAUUUGGAAAUCCUGCUCUUACUUGGAUGGUGUGAGCAGAGUGCUUUUGGCCAUGCUCUGUAGGACCAUCUCUGUGAAUCCAGCUCUAUUCUCAGUCUCCAGAGAGCUUCCAGGUUAUCUAGAAAGAAGCACAAGAGUAACUGCAGUGGGACCAGAUUUGCAGAACUGGCUUCUGCAGCUCAGAAUGGCAGGACUCAGAAAAGAAGAAAACAUAGAGGCUUUCAUUAGUUCAGGUUUUUAUCAGAAAUACACUAGGACUUAAAGAGAUAUUUAUAUGUAUUGGAUGGUAAACAAAUUUUCAGCAGAAUGAGGUGAGAAUCAAACUUCCCUUGGAGACAGUUUGGCCAAUAGUUUCUGACAGGGUUUUGGUUUUUAUUUCCUAUGUCAUUUGUAGGGAUCAUACAUUGAAAUCCUGCUCUGUCCUACAGGGACCACUGGCUUGAACAAGUGCAUGACAAUUCUUAGGAUGCUUGUGCUGAAAGACUUCUCUUAAUGGACCCUGAUAGGAUUUAGUUUGAUUUGUUCCAGAAUGGAAUUGCCCUUGUUCCUGCUGCUGCAGGCUCAUAAUCUGGAACCCAGGACUCGAGCAGGACUGAGGGAUGCAUGCAAGUGGUAAGAAGCUGGAUCAUCUUUCUUCAUCUGCUCACUGCCUUCACAGAAAUUGCAAGUAUGACAAAGUAUUUCAUCCCUUUACAGGAUUAGGGAUGCGGAUUUGCCUCUCACCAAAGUGCUGCUGGCUGCCUGCUGGAGGGUGUCUCUAAGACCUGAUUUAACCUGAAGCAUGCACUUCCUCAGGAGGUCUGCAGCAGGGCUGGAGGACUGCAAACACUGCAUCCCUUCCCUCCUGUCACCCGCUUCCACACGACUGCAGUGCCUGUACUGUGUUCUCAGCUCCCUCACUCUGAAAUGUUCCUCAUGAUGGUUUGUACGGAGGUGCCUUGGAGCAGGCUUUAGUUUUGGUGGCAGUCCCCCUUGUUGCCAUGUUAUUCAAGAAGAUGGCUUUAUCCUUGCCUUUAUUCCACUGGGACCAGCUACUCUACCCACAGGCACCAAAAGUGGCAAAUCUUCCCUAACCUAUUUUAAUUUUCAACUGAAACUCUACAUCACAUGAAUUUCUUUGUUUUUUUUGAGAGGUAAAGACUUUUUUUCCCUUUUUUUUUUUUUUUUGAAACCACACCAAAUAAAAACCCAAACACCAAAACCCAACAAAGCCAAAACUGUCAGAAAAAAAAUAAAUCAAAACCCACACAUUGAACCCAAGUUGGAGAAAUAACUGCAUUUUGUGACUGAUACAGUCCAUGGGAGUACAAAGCAUUCACAGUCUGGUCUUGCACAUCCACACCCUAAACCUAUUAAUAGAUUUUAGGCAUGAGCAUAGACAUGGAGACGGGCAGGAGCAGUUUGCCAUGCAAACAUUUAUCUGUGAACCCCAACCUAUUUUCUAGAACUGAAGAUUUUAGUGUGAUAAAGUGGACAUUUUAAAGCCCUGGUGGAGAUAGGGGGGAUGUAACUGCACUUAAACUGAGGGUGGAUUAGGCAUUCUCAUAUCUUGGAGUCUGCCAGUAAAUAGCAAAGUAUAUAAACAAUGGAAGGAAACAUGUCCUUCUUAAUCUGUAAAAAGAAAAGGACAGUUUUGAAAAUCCAUCAGUCUUUCAAAUCAUCUUAAGGCAUAUUGAUUCUGAAUCAUCACAGGGGUGUUCUUGUUAGUGAUCUAAAAAUAUAAAUGUAGUUGAAUACAUGGAAAACUGUAUCUUAUUCCAGUUGCUUGUAUUACUGCAAUAAAUGAUACCAGCUCUCUCUUCCUACAGA
This is a non-coding RNA of Cyanistes caeruleus (blue tit), 2724 nucleotides long. Lineage: Eukaryota; Metazoa; Chordata; Aves; Passeriformes; Paridae. The record is from RefSeq and is a predicted model, not a curated record.